This 1266-nucleotide long non-coding RNA is filed under the name Homo sapiens (human). Its description in RNAcentral is "HSALNT0276535". Lineage: Eukaryota; Metazoa; Chordata; Mammalia; Primates; Hominidae. The record is from RNAcentral.
AUGGAGCGCUGAUAACACUCUUGCAGAAGGAAGCUGCUACAUUGGAGAUGCCUGUGUGACCAGGAACUGUCCCAGUUCCUGCAGGACCCUCAGUCCUACAAUCUGCAAGAAAUCGAAUUCUGCCAGCAAGCAAGUGAGUGAGUUUAAGUCAUGUCCUGUUCCAGCCAAGCCUAUUAGGAUGAUACUGCAGCCCCAGACCUUAAUGGUAGACUCUGAGAGACCCUAAAACAGAGGAGCCAGGUAAACCUCGAUGGCUGACCUACAGAAAUCAUGAGAUACCCGUGCUGUUGUUUCAAGCAUCUCUGCUUUGAGUUCAUGCUGCCUAUUGGAUGGAAUCUCAGAGGGCGCUAUCAGCUGGAACACUGAACAUUGGCCUUCCCACGUGGCUGGAGCUUCCUUACAACAUGGCGACGAGUUCCAACAGUGAGCGUGCUGAGGCAGAGCCCGGUGAAAGCUUCACUGCCUUUUGUAACCUAGCCUUAGAGCUCAUGCAGAGUCCCUUCCACCACCCUGCCUCUAUUCACUGAGGCAGUCACAAAGACUGUCCAUAUUCAAGGGGUAGGGGACUGGAUUCCACCGUUUGUAGGGAGCAGUGCCAAAGAAUUUGCGGACAUGUUUCAAAACAUACAGCCCCUGCUCUGUGGACACUGAUUAUCCUUGUUCUGGUCCCAUGUAUACUCUGUGGGCUACUCCUUUUUACUGGGGGAUGGGAGGUUGGGAUUUUUCAGUCCUGAGUCAAACCUCCCUUCCUGGGGCCAGUGUGAAUAUAUGGGGAGAAGGCUGAGACUGUGAACUCACAGCCAGACCAGAACUGUGUACAAUGAGAGACUGAGGUUUCUCCAAACAAGGGACGGCAGGCAGACAAAAACAUAUGUCCUUUCUGAAUAAUAAAUAAAUAAACACACAAGUACAUAAUGAUCCACGGUGAAAAGUGCUCUGUUGGCAAAAGACAGGAUGCUUGUAAGAGUGACUCAGGUGGGGUGGGCAGUGGAGAUGGAGCCUUGGACUGAGUAAUCAGGGACUAUCUUCAGAGGAGGUGAUUUAUACCGAGGCUUGAAGAGUGAGAAGGGAUCAGCCGGGGGAAAGACUGGGCUUCAGGCAGAGUUUAACCCACGCAGAGGCCCUGAGAUGUGAAAGCGUGGCAUAUUCAAAGACUUAAGUGGCCACGUGGCUGGAGCAGCCUGAAGAAAUUGGGGCAUGGCAGAGAUGAGGCUUGACCACACAGUGUCUUGAAGGCCAUGAUAAGAGUUGGGAUUUAAGCCUGUG